This 85-nucleotide transfer RNA is filed under the name Pelagicoccus mobilis. RNAcentral's name for it is "tRNA-Leu". It matches the Rfam family "tRNA". Rfam says of the family: Transfer RNA (tRNA) molecules are approximately 80 nucleotides in length. Their secondary structure includes four short double-helical elements and three loops (D, anti-codon, and T loops). Further hydrogen bonds mediate the characteristic L-shaped molecular structure. tRNAs have two regions of fundamental functional importance: the anti-codon, which is responsible for specific mRNA codon recognition, and the 3' end, to which the tRNAs corresponding amino acid is attached (by aminoacyl-tRNA synthetases). tRNAs cope with the degeneracy of the genetic code in two manners: having more than one tRNA (with a specific anti-codon) for a particular amino acid; and 'wobble' base-pairing, i.e. permitting non-standard base-pairing at the 3rd anti-codon position. Lineage: Bacteria; Pseudomonadati; Verrucomicrobiota; Opitutia; Puniceicoccales; Pelagicoccaceae. RNAcentral also lists the same sequence under 3 other names. The record is from RNAcentral.
GCUCAGGUGGUGGAAUUGGUAGACACGUACGCUUGAGGGGCGUAUGGCGCAAGCCGUGGAGGUUCGAGUCCUCUUCUGAGCACCA